UGAAAAAAAGGUAAAAGCGGAUAGAAUUUACUUGAAUUAUCAACUAUUUUGAAUCGGUUACUCAGUCUUUCAAAAUUUAAGUUUUACUAUCUCAUUUUUCAAUUUGUUUGACUUGAAUCAGCCAACGGCACGUUGACUUUAAAAUUUAAUCUAAUUAGUUAUUUAAUAAAUUUAUAGUUUUGAAAAUUGCAUAAAAUAUGCUAAUUCAAUAUGUGAAGAUAAACGACGCAUCCAAAUUUUAAAACUAAAGGAUCAUUGGCUGAUUCAAAUCAAGCAAAUUAAUUGAAAAAUCGAAUAGUAAAAUCAAACUAGCCAAUUCAAAAUGGCUCAUAAGUCUAUAUGUUUUUUUUUUUUUUAAGAAAAUUAAAAUAAGAGUUUUAUAGAUUUAUGAG
RNAcentral lists this long non-coding RNA (392 nucleotides) under Ananas comosus (pineapple). RNAcentral describes it as "long non-coding RNA (ACOM_LNC000063)". The record is from RNAcentral. Lineage: Eukaryota; Viridiplantae; Streptophyta; Magnoliopsida; Poales; Bromeliaceae.